This 757-nucleotide ribosomal RNA is filed under the name uncultured archaeon. Its description in RNAcentral is "bacterial SSU rRNA". It matches the Rfam family "Archaeal small subunit ribosomal RNA", at positions 102 to 859 of the family's 1478-position model. The record is from RNAcentral.
GGACAACCUACCCUCGGGUCCGGCAUAAUCCUGGGAAACUGGGGAUAAUUCCGGAUAGGUCACAGAAGCUGGAAUGCUCUGUGGCCCAAAGCUCCGGCGCCCGAGGAUGGGUCUGCGGCCUAUCAGGGUUGUAGUGGGUGUAAUGUACCUACUAGCCUACGACGGRUACGGGUUGUGAGAGCAAGAGCCCGGAGAUGGAUUCUGAGACACGAAUCCAGGCCCUACGGGGUGCAGCAGGCGCGAAAACUUUACAAUGCGGGAAACCGUGAUAAGGGAAUCUCGAGUGCCAGCAUAUAAUGUUGGCUGUCCAGAUGCCUAAAAAGCAUCUGUUAGCAAGGGCCGGGCAAGACCGGUGCCAGCCGCCGCGGUAACACCGGCGGCCCGAGUGGUAACCGCUAUUAUUGGGUCUAAAGGGUCUGUAGCCGGCCAGGUAAGUCCCUUGGGAAAUCUGGCAGCUCAACUGUCAGGCUGCUAGGGGAUACUGUUUGGCUUGGGACCGGGAGAGGUGAGAGGUACCUUGGGGGUAGGGGUGAAAUCUUGUGAUCCUCGGGGGACCACCAGUGGCGAAGGCGUCUCACCAGAACGGGUCCGACGGUAAGGGACGAAAGCUAGGGGCACGAACCGGAUUAGAUACCCGGGUAGUCCUAGCCGUAAACGAUGCUCGCUAGGUGUCAGUCACGGUGCGACCGUGAUUGGUGCCGUAGGGAAGCCGUGAAGCGAGCCACCUGGGAAGUAUGGCCGCAAGGCUGAAACUUAA